GGGGAUAUAGCUCAGUGGUAGAGUAUGUGUUUAGCAUGCACGAAAUCCUGGGUUCAAUCUCCAGUACCUGCA
Molecule: transfer RNA, 72 nt
Filed under: Camelus bactrianus (Bactrian camel)
Lineage: Eukaryota; Metazoa; Chordata; Mammalia; Artiodactyla; Camelidae
Also listed under: 2 other names
Rfam family: tRNA
About the family: Transfer RNA (tRNA) molecules are approximately 80 nucleotides in length. Their secondary structure includes four short double-helical elements and three loops (D, anti-codon, and T loops).
Source: Rfam by way of RNAcentral